RNAcentral lists this long non-coding RNA (399 nucleotides) under Vigna radiata. RNAcentral's name for it is "long non-coding RNA (VRAD_LNC016228)". The record is from RNAcentral. Lineage: Eukaryota; Viridiplantae; Streptophyta; Magnoliopsida; Fabales; Fabaceae.
GUUGGGUUUCUCUUUUGCGCUUAAAGCUUUUAUCGUUUAACUCAUUCGAUAAUCGUUGUUUUUCUUUAUUGAUACGGGAACGUACGGUACUGUCAUGAACUGGGGGAAAUUCCUUGAUUAAGCAAUACCACCUAGGGAUAGGGGGUAGGACGAUCAAUUGUUUUUGCUUCUGUUUAUAAUGCAUUAUUAAUUACUAGGGGAGGCUAGGGAUAGCAAGCCAGUAAUUAGUAAUAGGCUCUUUUCGCCGAGGGAUCGGGUUAAGGGUAGACUAAGAAAGUUUGCAUGACAAUAUGAUAAUAAAGCGAAUUUAAUAAGAAUAGUAGAUAUAUGAGAGUGAUUGGGUGAAAUCUGAGUCCUAGCAACAAAUUCAUCUCAUUUUAUCAACAUCAUCCAUCCACU